Molecule: small RNA, 26 nt
Filed under: Bombyx mori (domestic silkworm)
Lineage: Eukaryota; Metazoa; Arthropoda; Insecta; Lepidoptera; Bombycidae
Description: ovarian small RNA-31127
Source: RNAcentral
UGAAUCGUGCAAAUGGCGCCGUUACC